Molecule: ribosomal RNA, 1159 nt
Filed under: human gut metagenome
Description: bacterial SSU rRNA
Rfam family: Bacterial small subunit ribosomal RNA
Source: RNAcentral
UCCUACGGGAGGCAGCAGUAGGGAAUUUUCGGCAAUGGACGGAAGUCUGACCGAGCAACGCCGCGUGAAUGAUGAAGUAUUUCGGUAUGUAAAGUUCUUUUAUUUGGGAAGAAAAAACAAAUUGACGGUACCAAAUGAAUAAGCUCCGGCUAAAUACGUGCCAGCAGCCGCGGUAAUACGUAGGGGGCAAGCGUUAUCCGGAAUUAUUGGGCGUAAAGGGUGCGUAGGCGGGUUAUCAAGUCUUUGGUUAAAAUGCGGUGCUCAACGCCGUAGUGCCAAAGAAACUGAUAGUCUAGAGUAUGGUAGAAGUGAGUGGAACUCCAUGUGUAGCGGUAAAAUGCGUAAAUAUAUGGAAGAACACCAGUGGCGAAGGCGGCUCACUAGGCCAAUACUGACGCUGAGACACGAAAGCGUGGGGAGCAAACAGGAUUAGAUACCCUGGUAGUCCACGCCCUAAACGAUGAGUACUAAGUGUAGCCAGAAGGCUGUGCUGAAGUUAACGCAUUAAGUACUCCGCCUGAGUAGUACGUACGCAAGUAUGAAACUUAAAGGAAUUGACGGGAUCCCGCACAAGCGGUGGAGCAUGUUGUUUAAUUCGACGAUACGCGAAGAACCUUACCAGGUCUUGACAUACUCGGCAAAUCUAUAGAGAUAUAGAAGAGGUUAACCGGGUUACAGGUGGUGCAUGGUUGUCGUCAGCUCGUGUCGUGAGAUGUUAGGUUAAGUCCUGCAACGAGCGCAACCCUUAUUGCUAGUUACCAUCAUUAAGUUGGGGACUCUAGCGAGACUGCCGGUGAUAAACCGGAGGAAGGUGGGGAUGACGUCAAAUCAUCAUGCCCUUUAUGACCUGGGCUACAAACGUGCUACAAUGGCUGACACAAAGAGAAGCGAGCUCGCGAGAGUAAGCAAACCUCAGAAAAGCAGUCUCAGUUCGGAUUGAAGUCUGCAACUCGACUUCAUGAAGUUGGAAUCGCUAGUAAUCGCGAAGCAGAGUGUCGCGGUGAAUACGUUCCCGGGAUUUGUACACACCGCCCGUCAAACCAUGAGAGUUUGUAAUACCCGAAGCCGGUGGCCGAACCGCAAGGAAGGAGCCGUCUAAGGUAGGACAGAUGAUUGGGGUUAAGUCGUAACAAGGUAUCCCUACGAGAACGUGGGGAUG